UACGAAGGGGGCUAGCGUUGUUCGGAUUUACUGGGCGUAAAGCGCACGUAGGCGGUCGUUAAGUCGGGGGUGAAAUCCUGGAGCUCAACUCCAGAACUGCCUUCGAUACUGGCGACUAUGAGUCCGGAAGAGGUGAGUGGAACUCCUAGUGUAGAGGUGGAAUUCGUAGAUAUUAGGAAGAACACCAGUGGCGAAGGCGGCUCACUGGUCCGGGUACUGACGCUGAGGUGCGAAAGCGUGGGGGAGCAAACAGG
RNAcentral lists this ribosomal RNA (254 nucleotides) under uncultured bacterium. RNAcentral describes it as "partial 16S ribosomal RNA". It matches the Rfam family "Bacterial small subunit ribosomal RNA", at positions 524 to 776 of the family's 1533-position model. The record is from RNAcentral.